Molecule: long non-coding RNA, 3338 nt
Organism: Motacilla alba alba
Lineage: Eukaryota; Metazoa; Chordata; Aves; Passeriformes; Motacillidae
Exons: 4
Source: RefSeq, a predicted model, not a curated record
CGACCCUGUCAUCUGCACCCCGACAGAAGUCACCGCAAUGUGGGAUCUGAGGUUAAUCCGCAGUGAAACGGUGCAGGUCAGAGGCUGGGCCCGAGUCUCCCCGGCGCUGCAGCGGAGCUCAGGCUCGCUGACAGCAGCGUGAGCUCUGCCUCCCGCGCAGCCCGCAGGGACAGCCCUGAGCCAGCUCCAGGCUGCUCCGCGCCAGCACAGCCUGGAGCCUGGAGCAGCCUGGCUCCUGGAGCAGGAGCUCCCCGGCAAGCCGGAGCUGUGCGGCCAGCAGCCCCAGAGCUGCUCCGUUUCGGGGUAACCCCAGUACCGCGGGGCACUCGAGGCACGCCCUGCCCCGUGCAGAAGGACGCGGCUGCUCCAGCCCGCUCGGCCCCUGAGCCGCGCAUCCUCCCUCCUUCCGCUCGCCCGCUGUUCAUCCCUGCCGCAGGCGGGGUCAGCUGCAGGAUGCCCACGGAGGGAUGCCGAGAAGGUGAAACGUUUGUUACUUUCCUGAAGCACAGCUAUCCGAGCAGGUUGCACUUGCUCUUAAGGAUAGCACCCAUGGAUAAAGGCAGAGGAGGCACAAAGCCAGCAUUUGACAGCAGAAUGGUCUACAAGCACUGACAUGGCUUGGGCAGGCACUGGUCUCCCAUGUCUCUCCCUACCAAGACAACAAAGAACCCCUUCCCCUGAGCUGGGAUUCUCCCUUGUCAUUAUGCUGUGCUCAAGCCAGCAGGCCAGCCCUGGAAUGGCACUUUGUGGAGCCUGGAAGAGACCCCAGAGAGCACCCAGCCCUCACUGGGACACUGACACCUUUCAUUUGAGUGGGAGUCAGUGGUGACUGUCCUCAGAGAGCUCUUGCCACCCUGGCUCUGCUCUUUCUACACCCAGCCCUGGGCAAGAUUAAAGCUGUGAACCAACAGCUGGCCAGCACAGAGCCCAAACCACAAUCUCAAAAGAGUCUGUGCCAGUUUAUUAAUUGUCUGUAGAGCGGGACCUGGCAGAAGGAAGCACAGCCUGCCUUCAUGGAGACAACACAUGUUUGGGACUGAAGCAGUGAGUGGUAAAGCUCACCCUACACAUGCCUUCCCUGCCUGCACUGCUUUGUACUCCAGCUUAGUCAUGGCUGGCCCAGGCGAGUGGCUGGGAGAGCAAGGCUGUACUGGUUGAUAUUAGCUCUGCUUGAGGCUGAGAGGCUGCAUCUGGUGUGGAUCUCCCUGGCUGCUACUGUGCUCUGGCUGCAGACUGAGAUAUGAGCUAGGAGAGCCCAGAGCUGCGCCCUGCCACAGCCUGGCUCUGGCUCAGCACCGCUCUGGAGGCACAGGGUGGUCUAAUGCACUUUAUUACUGCUCUUUAUUAUCAGGCUCCACUAAUUAAUUCCACUAAUGUGCAAAACCCCGCAUGACAAAGUAGCCCUUGAUCUUCUUCCACACCCUUGCUUCCAACCCCUGUGAGGCUUUUUGCUCUAGCUGAGGAGUUCCACUUGGAACAGGCAGCCCAGCCCAGCAGGUGCUAAAAGGUGUGUAAUCCUGAAGUGAGCUAACUGAGCCUGGGUGCUUCCUCUGCCGGGGUCUCACUGCUGCUUCUUGCACAGGGAGGACACCUGGGUUUUCACCAGGCCAGGAGCUAUCCUGCAUUUUGGCCUGGAGCUGGUUUAAAUCACGUUCCCUGGCAGUGGCUCCUGCUUUGAGAGGCAGUCCCAGGAGAUUCCUGGGUUGGGACAAAGAGGACAAUUGCUAUUUAAUGAAUGGAGCUGGGCAUAUCACCCAUGGUCCUGCAGCCAUCAUUCCUCAAACACAAAGGUUCUGCCACCCUUCCUUCCUGAGGCAUGGGAUCCUCAUGGAGCAAGGCUGUGAGUUUUUGUAAUAAACUUCCUGCAAGGAAGAGGAGAAGGAAGGAGAGGGCUCCUGCUGCCCUUGGCAUGGUGCAGGCAGCCCAGGGCAACUGUCACAACGAGACAUCAUUGUUUUUUCAUUCUGAGUGCUAAGCUAUAGAAACAGAAUAAAAUAUCAUGCAGAGGACUGCUUACAUAUUGCCUGUGACUUUUGUAUAUCUUAAUUUAAGAGUUUACAAAUUACAGUCCUUCUGCCAAGCCAGCAGCUAUUGAGCUCCCAGAAGGAAGUUCUUUGGCCACUUCUGUCUGCACUGUCCAAAUGUCUGUAGAAGAAAUACCCUGGGAAGAGAACCUGUCACUUUGUCCAUCACUGCUUACAGUGGACCCUUACCUCUUGCUGUGCCUUUGGAGACCACUUUGUUCUCCUAUUCCUUUCCUUUAACUGGCUCUGUUUUUACUCAUUGGAGGCCUUGUACUUAGACAAGAUCCAAAUUUUGCAUAAUAAAAGGGCUCCCUAAUAGCUGGCAGAGCAUCCUGCUGUUCCCUGUGUCCUGUUGUUGAAGAUUAAACAGAUGUAAAAUUAGGAGCUGAAUCUCUCUGCAUUUGGGGGUCCUUGUCCAUAGCUGGAGAUGAGAGAUUAAGAUGUGACCUUUUCCCAGGAAAAGCAAUUUAAGAGAUCAAGAAGUUAUAAUCCUUAACAAACCUUUCUCCAAAGAAUUUUGCUUUAAAUGCUUUAAAUCCCACUGGCCAUGUACAUUUUUGCUCACAGCUUUCUUUGCUUCUCUUGACUGCACACUCCAGUGAAAUCCCAGAUCCUUUACCAGAAAUGCUUUUGAAUGCUCCAUCCCCACCUACUCUUUUGGACCCCUAAGGAGACAAAUAAACAGAUGGAAGGUUUACUGCGAGCAGAAAAGAAGUCAACAAUUUCCCUUCAUGACAGGAGACGUCACACAACUCAGCAUCUGCAGGCUUAGUGCUGUAUUGCCCUGAGUAGCUCAUGUUCCUGGGCAUGGUUUCCAGGCAGAACCAAGUCCCAGUCCAUACCAAUGCACACCAAUAUCUUCUUGGCAUGCCCUACUCCAUCUCUUUAGAACAGGCCCACAAUUGCUCGGCUUCAUCUUAGGGUGGUAAUCACAUAAAAAAGCCAGAAAAAGUAAUCACAUAGAAAAGUAGAAAGUGAGUUUAAUUUGUCUCCUGGCCUAGCAGCAGACUCUUUUCAGCGAAUGGUCAGAACUUGUGUUUAAAAGCUCAUUGCAAAAAAACAGUAUCCAUGGCUGAUUGAGGUCUCAGUGUUGGGAAACCUUGAGAUCUGUAAGUGGAGAAGGAGCCCCAUUAAUUCCUGUCUAGACUGGCUUCUGAGCCCAGGUUCCAGAGAUGAAAGGACACUUUAUUAAGACAGGACAUAAAUCCACCCUGCCAACAAGUCCGCACUCCUCUGGAUUAUUUACACCUCUCUCCCUCCCUCUGGUCAUUGCCUGUCCCUACAUAAUCUACAUUAAAGUCCUGACAGGAUUAA